GGAAGGAAUUUCUUUAACUUCAUGUUAUAAACUGUAAGGUUGGGUCAUACCAUAAGCUGUAUGUAUUGGUAUAUUUCUAUGAUUCCUAGUCAUGGUCUGCUAGUUGCUAGAGGUGGUUUAAAAAAGUGGGGAAAAAAUGUUCUGAGCCUGGCCACAUUGGCUUCAGCAUGGCAAAAGAACAACUGCUGUGGCUCAGAUGAGGUAGAACAAGGGAUGAGGUUUGGCUGAGCCACUUGGCAGAGCACUUGUUGACUUCUGAUAGCUUUGGGGCAAAAGAAAGCUCGUAGGAAUGCACUUAAAAGGAGACAAAGUGUGGCUGUUCUGAUAUUUACAGGGAGCUGCUUCUUAACCUAAACAACAGUGUGAAAAAAGAGAAGCAGCACUGACUGGAAAAAAAAAAUCCAACCAGAAUUGACGGUGUUUGGCAUAGCAAUCCAACAACAUGAGAUCUGGCAUGCUGCUAUAGCUCUGACGGGGCACAGGUGCUGCACAGGCAAUAAAUAGAGACAAGCAGCUCAUGCUUGCUGCUGAGAAGAGCAAAACAAAGGAAGGGAGGACAGCACAGGAGGAGGACGCCAGCACGAUGCAGCAGACUUCCAAAAAGGUUCUCAAGAGCUGUGUUGCACAAGGAGACAGAGCAAGAAGUCUGGUAUUGCUGCCUCCUCCAUCACAUCCAGACCAACACUUCUGCCUUCCUCGAAGGGAUACAGGUGGGCCUUUGUACAGAAUGAACAAGUGCAAAUAAUUACUUCUACGUUCCUGACAAAGAGGCACAUGACUUCUUUCCCCCCCGUAUAGCUAGGCUGUGCAGCCAUCAGGUACGUCUCCUGCAGUUGUUCUCAGAAGAAAUUAACAGCUUUCAGUGCCUUGGUACAAUCGCGUAUAACAUCAGCAGCUUAUGAUAAACCCUAUUCUCAAGUGAUUUUGCUGAGACAGGAGUUCUGCUGACUUUCUGUACGAGCGCAGCUCACGGACACGUUUCUCCCACAGCAGCUCCUGCAGACAUUAACAAAUCACAUUUUGUCCCCUGUGACAGCUGGAGCCCAGCGGAAUUCAUAUCGUGUCUCAUCACCACUUCAGCCUACCCAGGCAUUAUAAUAGAGCAGCAGCUCCUGCUCUCUCUUCUGCCUCUAGAAGCUUGCAGCUUCAUUUCAGGAUGUCCCUU
Molecule: long non-coding RNA, 1165 nt
Filed under: Phasianus colchicus (ring-necked pheasant)
Lineage: Eukaryota; Metazoa; Chordata; Aves; Galliformes; Phasianidae
Description: lncRNA (ENSPCLG00000003280.1)
Source: RNAcentral